This 460-nucleotide ribosomal RNA is filed under the name uncultured bacterium. Its description in RNAcentral is "partial 16S ribosomal RNA". It matches the Rfam family "Bacterial small subunit ribosomal RNA", at positions 338 to 795 of the family's 1533-position model. The record is from RNAcentral.
CCUACGGGAGACUGCAGUGAGGAAUAUUGGUCAAUGGACGAGAGUCUGAACCAGCCAAGUAGCGUGAAGGAUGACUGCCCUAUGGGUUGUAAACUUCUUUUAUAUGGGAAUAAAAUGUUCCACGUGUGGGAUUUUGUAUGUACCAUAUGAAUAAGGAUCGGCUAACUCCGUGCCAGCAGCCGCGGUAAUACGGAGGAUCCGAGCGUUAUCCGGAUUUAGUGGGUUUAAAGGGAGCGUAGGUGGAUUGUUAAGUCAGUUGUGAAAGUUUGCGGCUCAACCGUAAAAUUGCAGUUGAAACUGGCAGUCUUGAGUACAGUAGAGGUGGGCGGAAUUCGUGGUGUAGCGGUGAAAUGCUUAGAUAUCACGAAGAACUCCGAUUGCAAAGGCAGCUCACUGGACUGCAACUGACACUGAGGCUCGAAAGUGUGGGUAUCAAACAGGAUUAGAUACCCCAGUAGUC